CUCUCUUUCUCUCUCUAGGAUCAUGUUCUUCCAUCGAGGCUCUCUUUUACGAGUCUCGUGUUGUUUCUUUUAGAAUCUCGGUUCUCGAUUACUGGGAAAACCCAGAAGUUACUGCAGAGAAGAACAAAGCAGAAGAAGAAGAACGCAAAUCUAACCGUGGGAUCUAUUGGCCAAAUCGACGGUAAAAUUUNUUUUUUUUUUUGUAGAGAGAUAAAAAGAUGAAAGAGUUUUGUUAUGAACUGACACACGCCAUAGAAGUUAGAAAAUCUGUGUUUUUCUGUUCAUCGGCCACCGUUCAUCUCAUCUCAUCGCACGCUUAUAUUAUAUCUCAAUAUUUUUUGUGUUACAUUUUAAUAAAUCUCUUACAUUAUGGUUUAAUGUAAAAAAUUUCAUUUUUUACGGGCGGAGCGGAGUAGAGAUUCUAGCAUUUGAUCGUGCUUUAAUGAAUUGAGUUGCCUCCGAGAGGUGGAGGACUUUGUCGA
Molecule: non-coding RNA, 482 nt
Organism: Cucurbita pepo subsp. pepo (vegetable marrow)
Lineage: Eukaryota; Viridiplantae; Streptophyta; Magnoliopsida; Cucurbitales; Cucurbitaceae
Source: RefSeq, a predicted model, not a curated record